CGCCAGACUCCUACGGGAGGCAGCAGUGGGGGAUAUUGCACAAUGGGGGGAACCCUGAUGCAGCGACGCCGCGUGGGUGAAGGAGCGUUUCGGCGCGUAAAGCCCUAUCGGCAGGGAAGAAACAGACGGGACCUGACUAAGAAGCCCCGGCUAACUACGUGCCAGCAGCCGCGGGAAUACGUAGGGAGCGAGCGUGUGCCGGAAUUACUGGGUGUAAAGGGAGCGUAGGCGGGGAUGCAAGUUGGGUGUCAAAACUACCGGCUCAACUGGUAGUCGCACUCAAAACUGCAGCUCUUGAGUGAAGUAGAGGCAGGCGGAAUUCCUAGUGUAGCGGUGAAAUGCGUAGAUAUUAGGAGGAACACCAGUGGCGAAGGCGACUUUCCGGACUGUACCUGACGCUGAGGCGCGAAAGCGUGGGUAGCGAACGGGAUUAGAUACCCUUGUA
Molecule: ribosomal RNA, 445 nt
Filed under: uncultured bacterium
Lineage: Bacteria
Description: partial 16S ribosomal RNA
Rfam family: Bacterial small subunit ribosomal RNA
Source: RNAcentral